GUUGCGGGAGCUUUCCAUGCAAGUCGAACGGCAGCACGAGAGAGCUUGCUCUCUUGGUGGCGAGUGGGGGACGGGUGAGUAAUAUAUCGGAACGUGCCUAGUAGCGGGGGAUAACUACUCGAAAGAGUGGCUAAUACCGCACACGCCCUACGGGGGAAAGGGGGGGAUCGCAUGACCUCUCACUAUUGGAGCGGCCGAUAUCGGGUUGUGUUUUUGGUUGGUUGCGGGUUUACGUGUGGUACGCUCCGAGCUGGUUUGUGUGGAGGACCAGCCAAUUGACUGAACCGGCUUGAUCCUACGAGCAGCAUGGAUUUUGACGAUUGGGGCAUCUGAUCAGGCUUCGGCGUGUAUGUGAUGCCUCGGGUGUCAGUUACUUUUGCAGAGAGAUAUGGUAGUCUAUACUAGUAGUGCUGACGUAUCUGCAGCAUAGCACUGGCUUACUACGUGCCAGCAGCGCGUAGUACGUAGGGUGCUAGCGUUAUCGUAUUACUGGGCGUAAGCGUGUGUAGGCGGUUCGGAGAGAAAGAUGUGAAAUGCCACGGCUCAACCUUGGAACUGCAUUUUAACUGCCGAGCUAGAGUAUGUCAGAGGGGGGUAGCAUUCCACGUGUAGCAGUGAAAUGCGUAAUAUGUGGAGGCAUACCGAUGGCGAAGCGCCCCCUGGGAUAAUACUGACGCUCAACACGAUAGCGUGGGGAGCAAACAGGAUUCGAUACCCUGGUAGUCCACGCCCUAAACGAUGUCAACUAGCUGUUGGGGCCGUUAGGCUUUAGUAGCGCAGCUAACGCGUGAAGUUGACCGCCUGGGGAGUACGGUCGCAAGAUUAAAACUCAAGGAAUUGACGCGGACCCGCACAAGCGGUGGAUGAUGUUGAUUAAUUCUAUGCAACGCGACAAACCUUACCUACCUUGACAUGUCUGGUACCCGAAUAGAUUUGGGAGUGCUCGCAAGAGAACCGAGCACAGUGCUGCAUGGCUGUUUCAGCUCGUGUCGUGAAUGUUGGUUAGUCCCGCAACGACCUACCUUGUCAUUAGUGCUACGCAGAGCACUCUAUGAACUGCGUGACACGAGGAAGGUGGGAUGACGUCAGUCUCAUGGCCUUUAUGUAGCUUCACCUCAUACAAUGGUCGGUACCGAGGGUCGCCAAUCUGCGGGGUGUAUCUCUUGUCUGCAACCCGAUCGUAGUCCGGAUCGCAGUCUGCAACUCGACUGCGUGAAGUCGGAAUCGCUAGUAAUCGCGGAUCAGAAUGUCGCGGUGAAUACGUUCCCGGGUCUUGUACACACCGCCCGUCACACCAUGGGAGUGGGUUUCACCAGAAGUAGGUAGCCUAACCGUAAGGAGGGCGCUACCACGGUUGAUCAGG
Molecule: ribosomal RNA, 1363 nt
Filed under: Xanthomonas pisi
Lineage: Bacteria; Pseudomonadati; Pseudomonadota; Gammaproteobacteria; Lysobacterales; Lysobacteraceae
Description: partial 16S ribosomal RNA
Rfam family: Bacterial small subunit ribosomal RNA
Source: RNAcentral